AUAAUAAUAUUUGAUUUCAACAUUAUUAAGUAUUUAUCCAUCGAGUCUGUUGGUCCCCCUCAUGUCCACCUCCCAUCACGUGGGGCGAACCUCUGAUGUAGACUAUUCAUUUGUGUGGGGCCCACCUUUAUUGUGGGCCAUCCAUCUUGUGAAGCCCACAUCGGAUAUGCACAGUCUAUUAUGUAGGGCUCAUCUUUGAUGUUGGUCAUCCAUCGUGUGGGGUACACCAUUAAUGUUAUUGUCUAUCAUGUGGAGCCCACCUUCAAUAUUUAUUGCCUAGCAUGUGGAGCUCACUUUUGAUGUGGACUGCUCAUCAUGUGGACCCAAUCUCCGGUGUGAGCCAUCCAUCAUGCAGGCAUGCCUUGGAUAUGGGCCCCACCACAUCAUAUUGAUUGGACGGCUAGAUCAUGAGGUCGACCUAUAGAAAACACAAACUGGAAGCCUACUGUACACAUAUUCGGCCAGAGCAUUGUAAGAUACCUCAUUAAAAUAAGCUAUAGAUAUUUUGGUGAAGGAUCUAGAAAAACCAUUUCCUUUGUGGAGUGGUUGCCACUUUCGAUAAGCACAUUGCUUUUAUUUAUUUAUUUAUUUAUUUAUUUUUAUACAUCUAUCAUUUAGAUUUCAAUGUGAUCACUGAUUAGGGGGACUUUUUAUUUAUUUAUUCAUGGAGAGAGCUUUGAUACUCUGGCAGGGUGUUAUGGUUGAUCGGCAGGCGCUUAAAAUCACUCAGAAAUUGAGUACAUGGCAUACAACUAAUUCAAAUCAACCCGUCUAAAUUAUGGUACCUAGUCUAGAAUUAUAAUCAAUCAUUAAUUAUGAUUAUUUGAUUGUGGACAGUUGAUCGGACGGUAAAAAGUGAAAAUUUUGGCAUGUUCUUGUUUCAACAAAUAAAUGUCCUGUAGCACACGUGCCACCAUCCGUCUUCACUUGGUCACCAUGUUCUAACUCUUAAAUUUUUAUUUAUUUAUUUAUUUAUCUUUGAAAAUCUUAUCAUUUUUUAGAAUUGUACUCAAUUUUCUAAUGCAGUUCUGAAAUAUCUGCUGAAUAUAGCCUUUAUCUUUCCAUUCGAUGUUUUAUAUGGAUGGUCAUGUUUCUUUGAUUACCUUAACCACAUCCCAUGGCAACUGAAUUUGAUAUGAAGGAAAGAAUGAGAGCUGCACAGGUUAAAUUCAUUGCAAGUCUCAGUUCUACGGAAAGUCGUGAGUUGGAUUCGUCAAAAUCUGAACAGAAUGCAUCCAUCUGUGAUGCUAAUCAGGUUUCAGAAGAGCCAGUGCCAGUUGUUCGUUCUCUUUGUCGGGAUCCAGAUUCUAAAAGUCCUCGAUCUUAGUUCUUCUCCAGGUAACAAACUGAAUUGGAAGUUAGUGGCUGAAUUUUUUCCUUAUCUGAAGAAAGUUUUCUCCAAUGCUUUUAUUUUGACUAAUAGUUUGUUUUCAAUAAAUUUCCAAUAAAAUGAUCCAAAUGAAUCUCAUACGUUUUCCUGGUCAUGGAAACUGCAAGUUUCGUCGAGCGAGGCCCCCCAUCAUGGGAAGAAGUUCCCCGGUCAGACAAGGAGCAUCUCUCUAUUGCCAUUAGGGGCAUGACUGAUCCAUCUUUGAACUGAGUCCACGCGUCAUGGGCAACCAACAGAAGUCGAUGCAUUCUUGACUACAUCAAAGCGCAUCUUCCUGCUAUGAGGAACAUUCAAGUGUCAAAUGCAUAUUAUAAUUCAAGCACAGAUGUUACAUCUUCCCCUGAGAUGAUGGAACAUGAUCUCAGGUUAACUUGCUGUCCCUAAAUUGAUAAAAGCU
Magnolia sinica is the source of this 1787-nucleotide long non-coding RNA. RefSeq lists it as uncharacterized. The record is from RefSeq and is a predicted model, not a curated record. Lineage: Eukaryota; Viridiplantae; Streptophyta; Magnoliopsida; Magnoliales; Magnoliaceae. The transcript is spliced from 3 exons.